RNAcentral lists this ribosomal RNA (253 nucleotides) under uncultured bacterium. RNAcentral describes it as "partial 16S ribosomal RNA". It matches the Rfam family "Bacterial small subunit ribosomal RNA", at positions 524 to 776 of the family's 1533-position model. The record is from RNAcentral.
UACAGAGGUCCCAAGCGUUGUUCGGAUUUACUGGGCGUAAAGGGAGCGUAGGUGGCAUUCUAAGUCUGAUGUGAAAGCUCUGAGCUUAACUCAGAAAUGGCAUUAGAUACUAGUUUGCUCGAGGAUUGGAGGGGAGAUUGGAAUACUUGGUGUAGCAGUGAAAUGCGUAGAUAUCAAGUGGAACACCAGUGGCGAAGGCGAAUCUCUGGACAAUUCCUGACACUGAUGCUCGAAAGCUAGGGGAGCAAACGGG